This 57-nucleotide transfer RNA is filed under the name Diporiphora lalliae. RNAcentral describes it as "tRNA-Cys". Lineage: Eukaryota; Metazoa; Chordata; Lepidosauria; Squamata; Agamidae. The record is from RNAcentral.
GGUUUAAAGAAUAUUUGAGUGCAAAUCAAAUGGUGGGUCAGGUUGGCCCUUAAGCCU